AGUGAGGAAUAUUGGACAAUGGGCGCAAGCCUGAUCCAGCCAUGCCGCGUGCAGGAUGACGGUCCUAUGGAUUGUAAACUGCUUUUGUACGAGAAGAAACACUGAUUCGUGAAUCAGCUUGACGGUAUCGUAAGAAUAAGGAUCGGCUAACUCCGUGCCAGCAGCCGCGGUAAUACGGAGGAUCCAAGCGUUAUCCGGAAUCAUUGGGUUUAAAGGGUCCGUAGGCGGUUUAGUAAGUCAGUGGUGAAAGCCCAUCGCUCAACGGUGGAACGGCCAUUGAUACUGCUGAACUUGAAUUAUUAGGAAGUAACUAGAAUAUGUAGUGUAGCGGUGAAAUGCUUAGAGAUUACAUGGAAUACCAAUUGCGAAGGCAGGUUACUACUAAUUGAUUGACGCUGAUGGACGAAAGCGUGGGGAGCGAACAGGAUUAGAUACCCUGGUAGUCCACGCCGUAAACGAUGGAUACUAGCUGUUGGGAGCAA
This 482-nucleotide ribosomal RNA is filed under the name uncultured bacterium. Its description in RNAcentral is "bacterial SSU rRNA". It matches the Rfam family "Bacterial small subunit ribosomal RNA", at positions 353 to 832 of the family's 1533-position model. The record is from RNAcentral.